Molecule: transfer RNA, 75 nt
Filed under: Patescibacteria group bacterium
Lineage: Bacteria
Description: tRNA-His
Rfam family: tRNA
About the family: Transfer RNA (tRNA) molecules are approximately 80 nucleotides in length.
Source: RNAcentral
GUGGCUAUAGCAUAACGGUUAGUGCACCGGGUUGUGGUCCCGGAAACCUGGGUUCGAUUCCCAGUAGCCACCCCA